CGACGUCGCAUGCUCCCGGCCGCCAUGGCCGCGGGAUUACGGGGAGCAGCAGGCGCGAAACCUUUACACUGCACGACAGGUGCGAUAAGGGGAUCCCGAGUGCGAGGGCAUACAGUCCUCGCUUUUCGUGACCGUAAGGUGGUCUCAGAAUAAGGGCUGGGCAAGACCGGUGCCAGCCGCCGCGGUAAUACCGGCAGCCCGAGUGAUAACCACUCUUAUUGGGCCUAAAGCGUCCGUAGCUGGCCGAACGGGUCCGUCGGGAAAUCCACCCGCUCAACGGGUGGGCGUCCGGCGGAAACCAGUCGGCUUGGGACCGGAGGACCUGCGGGGUACGUCUGGGGUAGGAGUGAAAUCCUGUAAUCCCAGACGGACCACCGGUGGCGAAAGCGCCGCAGGAGGACGGAUCCGACAGUGAGGGACGAAAGCUUGGGUCUCGAACCGGAUUAGAUACCCGGGUAGUCCAAGCCGUAAACGAUGCUCGCUAGGGUGUGGCGCAGGCUACGAGCCUGCGCUGUGCCGUAGGGAAGCCGAGAAGCGAGCCGCCUGGGAAGUACGUCCGCAAGGAUGAAACUUAAAGGAAUUGGCGGGGGAGCACAAUCACUAGUGCGGCCGCCUGCAGGUCGACCAUAUGGGAGAGCUCCCAACGCGUUGGAUGCAUAGCUUGAGUAUUCUAUGGGGGCCACCU
This 685-nucleotide ribosomal RNA is filed under the name Halococcus salifodinae. RNAcentral's name for it is "bacterial SSU rRNA". It matches the Rfam family "Archaeal small subunit ribosomal RNA", at positions 283 to 1186 of the family's 1478-position model. Lineage: Archaea; Methanobacteriati; Methanobacteriota; Halobacteria; Halobacteriales; Halococcaceae. The record is from RNAcentral.